RNAcentral lists this ribosomal RNA (326 nucleotides) under uncultured eukaryote. Its description in RNAcentral is "partial 18S ribosomal RNA". It matches the Rfam family "Eukaryotic small subunit ribosomal RNA", at positions 1470 to 1796 of the family's 1831-position model. The record is from RNAcentral.
CCCUUAGAUGUUCUGGGCCGCACACGCGCUACACUGAAGGAGGCAGCGUGUACUCCUGGAUCGAAAGAUUUGGGUAACCCGCGAAUCUCCUUCGUGCUAGGGAUUGAGGUUUGCAAUUAUCCUUCAUGAACGAGGAUUCCCAGUAAGUGCAAGUCAUAAGCUUGCGCUGACUACGUCCCUGCCCUUUGUACACACCGCCCGUCGCUACUACCGAUUGAAUGAUUUAGUGAGGACUUCGGACUGGGACCGAUGCGGCUUUCGGGCUGCGUCGGUAUUCUGGAAAGAUGUCCAAACUGUAUCAUUUAGAGGAAGUAAAAGUCGUAACA